UACCCAGCAACUCCUAUCCUUACCUCCUCGUGAUACUGGCCGGGGUACGAGUAACCUUAGGGAAGAUCGGGUAACCAACCCCGGUGGGUGCUUAGGUUGUAUGCCGACAGGGGAGG
Molecule: ribozyme, 116 nt
Filed under: Aedes aegypti (yellow fever mosquito)
Lineage: Eukaryota; Metazoa; Arthropoda; Insecta; Diptera; Culicidae
Description: drz-agam-1 ribozyme
Rfam family: drz-agam-1 ribozyme
Source: Rfam by way of RNAcentral